RNAcentral lists this ribosomal RNA (516 nucleotides) under uncultured Cupriavidus sp. Its description in RNAcentral is "partial 16S ribosomal RNA". Lineage: Bacteria; Pseudomonadati; Pseudomonadota; Betaproteobacteria; Burkholderiales; Burkholderiaceae. The record is from RNAcentral.
CACGUAGUUAGCCGGUGCUUAUUCUUCCGGUACCGUCAUCCACGCCAGGUAUUAACCAGCGCGAUUUCUUUCCGGACAAAAGUGCUUUACAACCCGAAGGCCUUCUUCACACACGCGGCAUUGCUGGAUCGAGGGUUCGCCCCCAUUGUACCAAAACUUCCCCACUGCUGCCUCCCGUAGGAGUCUGGGCCGUGUCUCAGUCCCAGUGUGGCUGAUCGUCCUCUCAGACCAGCUACUGAUCGUCGCCUUGGUGGGCCUUUACCCCACCAACUAGCUAAUCAGACAUCGGCCGCUCCUGCUGCGUGAGGCCUUGCCGGUCCCCCACUUUCACCCUCAGGUCGUAUGCGGUAUUAGCUAAUCUUUCGACUAGUUACUCCCCCACAACAGGGUACGUUCCGAUGUAUUACUCACCCGUUCGCCACUCGCCGCCAGACCGAAGUCCGCGCUGCCGUUCGACUUGCAUGUGUAAGGCAUGCCGCCAGCGUUCAAUCUGACGCCAGGACUACAAACUCUACG